This 497-nucleotide ribosomal RNA is filed under the name uncultured bacterium. Its description in RNAcentral is "partial 16S ribosomal RNA". It matches the Rfam family "Bacterial small subunit ribosomal RNA", at positions 28 to 507 of the family's 1533-position model. The record is from RNAcentral.
GAUGAACGCUGGCGGCGUGCCUAAUACAUGCAAGUCGAGCGACCGGACGAGAAGCUUGCUCCUCUGAUGUUAGCGGCGGACGGGUGAGUAACACGUGGAUAACCUACCUAUAAGACUUGGAUAACUUCGUGAAACCGGAGCUACUACCGGCUCAUAUUUUGUACCGCAUGGUUCAAAAGUUAAACACGCUCUUGCUGUCACUUUUAGAUGGAUCCGCGCUGGAUUAUCUAGUUGGUAAGGUAACGGCUUACCAAGGCAACGAUGCAUAGCCGACCUGAGAGGGUGAUCGGCCAAACUGGAACUGAGACACGGUCCAGACUCCUAAGGGAGGCAGCAGGAGGGAAUAUUCCGCAAUGGGCGAAAGCCUGAAGGAGCAAAGCCGCGUGAGUGAAGAAGGGCUUCGGGUUGUAAAAACCUUUUAUUGGGGAAGAAAAGAAGGAGAAGAAAACUGGGAAGUUCUGACGGUACCCAAUCAGAAAGCCACGGCUAACUGCGUG